This 309-nucleotide unclassified non-coding RNA is filed under the name Bombus terrestris (buff-tailed bumblebee). RNAcentral describes it as "misc RNA ENSBTSG00005036114.1". Lineage: Eukaryota; Metazoa; Arthropoda; Insecta; Hymenoptera; Apidae. The record is from RNAcentral.
UAAAAGCAAAGGUGCGUUUCAGCGAAGAUGCCGCGAGCUGUCCGACGCAGGAUAGAAAGAGAGCGAACCAAACGUAAAACGAAAGGCGAAGAAGAACCAGAAGGGGGCCAAGUGGGAGAAGGAGAAAAAUUGUACGACAAAAGAAGAAGGAAAAAAAAGAGAGGUUCCGAUACAAUUACUCCGAUGAUUAACCAAAGGAUCAAUUAAUUUUUUCCCGUUUAUCCUAACGGAACCGUAAUCGCAUCGAUCCAUCAUAUUUCAAUUGAACCACGAAUUAAUAUGUCACUUACCAGGCAGAAGGCGAAUCGA